This 438-nucleotide long non-coding RNA is filed under the name Capsicum annuum. RNAcentral's name for it is "long non-coding RNA (CANN_LNC019418)". Lineage: Eukaryota; Viridiplantae; Streptophyta; Magnoliopsida; Solanales; Solanaceae. The record is from RNAcentral.
CACUUGGUUAUUUGGUUUACCAAGAAAAUAGCUAUGUUUUGAUUUACCAAAAAAAAAUAGCCAUUUCUCUUCUUCUUCUGCCCAUCUUCUUUUUCUUUGUUGUUUUGGUGGAGACCAAACAACCUCUGUUUUUUUCUCCUAGCUCACCCACCGAAAAGAACCCACUCAUCAGAUCCCAUUAACCAGUAAUCACGACCUUCCAUCUUCAACGAGCUUCGACGAAAUUAUCAUGAAGGACCAAUUUCGUUCACUACUUUGAUUAAGCUCCACCACCACAACACCGAUGGACUUGCCACAAACAUAAUCAGUUAUCCGCAAGCUCGUCGAAGCUCAACACCGUGUUGCUACCAGAAGGAGUUUGAGAUCGACAUCUAAAACUCGUUCGAGCGAUGUAAUGAGUCAUAAAGGAAAGAGUGAGGAUUUUGAAAUUUAUACUGG